CAGGAAGGAAUUCCCAAGUGCGCCUUCCUGGUCUCUCAAAAGGGUUCUGCAUUUGGGUAGUGGCAGCAUCUACCCAUCCAAGAAUCAGUUACAGAACUGUGCCAACAAUCAGCCCGACUGGGAGGAAGACAAGACUUCUCUGGGGGUGGUUCCAGCGACCAUUGGCACCAACUUCUGCUUGCGCUGCAAAGAAUAAAUAAGGAGCCUGUUCCCUGGAUACUUGUUGUUUUCCUCCUCCGCUGUUACCCA
This is a long non-coding RNA of Mauremys reevesii (Reeves's turtle), 249 nucleotides long. RefSeq lists it as uncharacterized. The transcript has 3 exons. The record is from RefSeq and is a predicted model, not a curated record. Lineage: Eukaryota; Metazoa; Chordata; Testudines; Geoemydidae.